RNAcentral lists this ribosomal RNA (454 nucleotides) under uncultured bacterium. Its description in RNAcentral is "SSU rRNA". It matches the Rfam family "Bacterial small subunit ribosomal RNA", at positions 26 to 518 of the family's 1533-position model. The record is from RNAcentral.
AGGACGAACGCUGGCGGUGUGCUUCACACAUGCAAGUCGAACGGGGGUAGCAAUACUCUAGUGGCGGACGGGUGAGUAACGCGUGGGAAUCUGCCCUAGGGUGGGGGAUAGCAGACCGAAAGGUCUAUUAAUACCGCAUAUGCCGAGAGGUAAAAGGAGUAAUCCGCCCAAGGAUGAGCCUGCGUCCGAUUAGCUUGUUGGUGGGGUAAUGGCCUACCAAGGCUGCGAUCGGUAGCUGGUCUGAGAGGACGAUCAGCCACAAUGGGACUGAGACACGGCCCAUACUCCUACGGGAGGCAGCAGUGGGAAUUUUACGCAAUGGGGGAAACCCUGACGUAGCGACACCGCGUGAGCGAAGAAGCCCUUUGGGGUGUAAAGCUCUGUCGGCAGAGACGAAAAUAAAUAUGACGGUACCUGCAGAGGAAGCAUCGGCUAACUACGUGCCAGCAGCCGC